GGUCAAGUUACUAAGGGUAUAUGGGGGAUGUCUAGGUGCCGAGAGGCGAUGAAGGACGUGGCAGGCUGCGAUAAGCCCGGGGCAGGUGCCGAGCAACCGCUAAUCCCGGGAUCUCCGAAUGGGGCAACCCGUCGGAACUGGGCAACCAGAUUCCGUCACCACUGGCUGAACGCAUAGGCCAGUAGGAGCGAACGCAGGGAACUGAAACAUCUAAGUACCUGCAGGAAAGGAAAUCAACCGAGACUCCGUUAGUAGCGGCGAGCGAAAGCGGA
RNAcentral lists this ribosomal RNA (272 nucleotides) under Sedimentisphaerales bacterium. RNAcentral's name for it is "partial 23S ribosomal RNA". It matches the Rfam family "Bacterial large subunit ribosomal RNA", at positions 1 to 263 of the family's 2925-position model. Lineage: Bacteria; Pseudomonadati; Planctomycetota; Phycisphaerae; Sedimentisphaerales. The record is from RNAcentral.